CACACAUUUCAGUAGCAUAUGAAGCGGUUUGGAAGCAUUGUGCAAGAGUUAAGUCCCUCACCCCAAAUGCAGUGACGCAGAGAGCUACAAGAUGAGGUGCAUCUUCAUCUUCCCCUUCUGGCACAACCUAAAGCCAAACUGGCAGAGAAGAAAACCACCAAAAAGUACAGCCAGCAUGUGGGUAGGGUUGGAUUCGCAGCCUCUGGCCUGUGACUUUGCGUGACUACUUUGCGCGACUACUUUGUGUGACUCCUCAAAGCACAGGCAGUUGAGAGUCUGAUGACACUCAAGGCCACGCGCUGUGAUGUCCAAAAUUAACUCAGCUGCUAACUGUGCUACUGCCUCCGCGGUUUGAUUGCACCCUGCCUUCCUUGAGAACGCCCCCAAGGGAUAAAGAGGAUGUUGCUCAUAUGUGCAUUUCUGAGUUUUUUUUUUUUUCUUAGUGGACAGAAAUUUUCCAUUGUGUGGGGAUUUUUUGGUCUCAUCUGAAAUCUGGUUUCCACGUAGCCUGGCGCUAUUAGUCCAGUCAUUUUACCUGACCUCUUUCUUUACUUUGGGCACAAGACAAGGCCGAGCUCAUUCUUUCGUGACAGCCACUCUGCCACCUAAGCAGAACUAACCGUCAAAAGAGCAGGCGAAUUGUAAUUCUUAAAAAAUCCAUAAGCCAGCAGUUCCUUUUAACCACAGUGACUUUCCCGGCUGGCUCGUUGUGCUGAGGCAGCGGCGCGGCUGCACAGCAGAGCGAGGCUUGGCCCCGCCUCCCUUGGCAGGAGGGCGCUGUGGCGCGUGCAAGCUCUGCUGUCCUGCCCUUCCUGUGGGACCCAGUAUGGCGUUCUAGUGAUUGUUAGCAUGCGGACUGAAUAAACGCUCGGCUUCACUGAUGUUCCCAGCCUUACAUUUGCUAAACUGUGUCAACCAGAUGGCAGCAAGGACAUCUGUGGCAGUACAGAAAUCAAGAGAUGAGAAAAGGAAAUAAAGAAUCGUGGAGAGAACUGAUUUCAUGAACCAACGUGCCACUACCCAUAGAUGUGGAAGAGGUGUUGGAGCCCCAUCCAGAGGAGCUUUGUGAGAGCCGCCAGCACCCGACUGGGGAGGCCAGGAAGCCACGGCCGGCACUCAGAGCGAGGGAGCUCAGGCCCAGCUCAGCAAGGAGGCUCGACUAGAAGCCAGGCCCUUACCCAGGCCACUCCGUGGGACCCUCUGGAAGUGUUUCUCAUAACAAGAAGAGGGAUUAAUGAACUCCAGUCCUCACAGAAGCCCCACGGAAAGAGGCCGUCACCCCCACUCUACCCUGGGGAACAGGGGUCACAAAACUGCUAAGGAGCCAGUCAGAGCUGGUAACGGGAUGGAGAGCCCAGGACUCAAACCAGUCACAGGUCCUGUGCUGUUCCUCGGUCAUCUUCCUGAUAGAAAAGAGGAAAGUGCCUCCGAAGGGAGCCCCACCGUGCAGAGUAUGAGGGAGUGGGAUAAGGAUUAAAAGAAGACAGCACCAUAGAGCAAGAUGAGAGAGGUUUCCAAAGGCUGCGUCUAGGACGAGCCAGGGGACCUUGAUAGCUGAGACGUUAACUCUGCAGAGAGAGGGAGAGAAGAUGAACCAGAGGACGCCUAGAACCGGUGAGCACCACGCAGGGUCCUUCAGAGACGGCGGAGUCCCGUGCUGAGAGCUCCCUCCAAGGCUGGGAUAGCUUGGGCACUUCUCUUUGCUCACGGAGAAAUCCCAAAGGCAUUUGGUUUUCUUUGAGGCCUCUACUCCCCAUUUCUUGGUGGCCAUUAUUAGUUCAAUCAAAAGGUGGCAGCCUUCGGGGCGAAUGAGCCCCCUCUUCUGAGCCAGGGAGCCCGCUUCGAAGGUGUAGCAGGCUCCGGUUUCAAGUCCCUGAUCAGGGCCAGCUGUAGCCGACCCACCCCGUCGACUCGUUGGGGACCUAGACCUGCUACUUCCUUCUCCCUGACCUGGGGGUGAAUGAGGAGGAUGAAUGGCAAACAGACACAGAGUCAGUUUAAUUUUCAGGCAGCCAGAGGAGGCCCUAGUGUCUGACUCAUCUUGCCUCUAUUUACCCGAAUGGGUGCAAGCAAUCAGAGAAACACAGGAUCCACCUGCUUUCCGGGAUUCAUUACUACAAACUCUGGUAAACAACUUAACCUCCGGCGUCCUAACUUUUCCCUGGAUCCCGCACUAUGCGGUCACCCCUGAGAGCAGCCUUCCUCCUUUGUGCUCACAGAGGGGCCAGCUAGGCCUCAGUUCUCCUCUGCUCUCUGGCACUCAGGUGCAAGAGGGUAACCUUGCUUCUAUCCCAAAGCCAAGCCUGAGCCACCAUGGGUGGAGGCAGGAGACAUCCAAGGUCACAUAGAUGUAAAGCUUGACUUGGGGCCCAGCUGCUGUGGCCAGAGGCUGUCCUUCCACCAAUGAUGUCGCUAACCUGAGGAGCUGGAGCCAGCAGCGCUUGAUGCCCUGCCAUCCCGCUACUGCCAGCAACAGGACUCUGCUCCUCUGACCUUUGGCCCAGGCGCCUCCCGUUGCAUCUCCUCCCAACACUUCCCAUGGUGCCCGCUGGAGUCCCCUGUCCACUGUCGAAUCCCCAACCUGUUCUUUGACUUUUGACAUUAAAACAAAAGAAAGAGAUGGAAAGAAAUGUCAGCAAUUUUCUGUUUCCCCUGUUGUUUUAGGCUGA
Heterocephalus glaber (naked mole-rat) is the source of this 2669-nucleotide long non-coding RNA. NCBI's taxonomy places the organism in Eukaryota, Metazoa, Chordata, Mammalia, Rodentia, Bathyergidae. The record is from Ensembl.